This 506-nucleotide ribosomal RNA is filed under the name uncultured bacterium. RNAcentral's name for it is "bacterial SSU rRNA". It matches the Rfam family "Bacterial small subunit ribosomal RNA", at positions 19 to 518 of the family's 1533-position model. The record is from RNAcentral.
AUGGCUCAGGAUGAACGCUAGCGGCAGGCUUAACACAUGCAAGUCGAGGGGCAUCGGGAGUAGCAAUACUUGCCGGCGACCGGCGCAAGGGUGCGUAACGCGUGAGCAACAUGCCCGUAUCAGGGGGAUAAUCCAUGGAAACGUGGUCUAAUACCCCAUAGUAAUUAUGUAAGGCAUCUUAUAUAAUUUAAAGCUUUGGUGGAUACGGAUUGGCUCGCGUGACAUUAGCUAGAUGGUAAGGUAACGGCUUACCAUGGCUACGAUGUCUAGGGGUUCUGAGAGGAAGGUCCCCCCACACUGGAACUGAGACACGGUCCAGACUCCUACGGGAGGCAGCAGUGAGGAAUAUUGGACAAUGGAUGGAAAUCUGAUCCAGCCAUGCCGCGUGCAGGAAAGACGGCCCUAUGGGUUGUAAACUGCUUUUGUAUGGGAGCAAUAAGGGCUACGCGUAGUCCGAUGAGAGUACCAUACGAAUAAGCACCGGCUAACUCCGUGCCAGCCGCAGC